Salmo salar (Atlantic salmon) is the source of this 2228-nucleotide non-coding RNA. NCBI's taxonomy places the organism in Eukaryota, Metazoa, Chordata, Actinopteri, Salmoniformes, Salmonidae. The record is from RefSeq and is a predicted model, not a curated record.
UAGACACCUGUACCAACCUGGAGAGAACACAGCAUUAUAUCAGGACCUAUAGACACCUGGACCAACCUGGAGAGAACACAGCAUUAUAUCAGGACCUAUAGACACCUGGACCAACCUGGAGAGAACACAGUAUUAUAUCAGGACCUAUAGACACCUGGACCAACCUGGAGAGAACACAGCAUUAUAUCAGGACCUAUAGACACCUGUACCAACCUGGAGAGAACACAGCAUUAUAUCAGGACCUAUAGACACCUGGACCAACCUGGAGAGAACACAGCAUUAUAUCAGGACCUAUAGACACCUGGACCAACCUGGAGAGAACACAACAAGAUGAAUAUCCUGCUGAUAGUCAUCCUCCUCGCCUUCAUCACAGGUUGUUUGAGCUCCUUCAAAGUGACAGGAUACUCUGGAGGAACUGUCAUCAUCUACUGUCAUUAUUACACAGAAGAAAGAAGUCAUGAGAAAUAUUUCUGCGUGGGGAAGUAUAGCUGGAGAUGUAAGGAUCAAAUCAGAACUGGAUUGAAGAACACCUGGGUACACAGAGGUAGAUUCUCUCUGUAUGACAACACUGGAGGAAACUACUUCAAGGUGAUCAUCAGACAACUGACCAGACAAGAUGAAGGGACCUACUGGUGUGGAGUGGACAAACCUACUAUACCUGACAGUUAUACCAAGGUAGAGCUGGAUGUGAAGGAGGAUGACUGCUGUAAGAAGUCAGUCACAGAGACGGCCUUUCUGGGAGGAGAAGCUACCAUCAGAUGUAACUAUCCAGAGGACCAUGAGGACAGAACCAAGUAUUUCUGCAAGGAAAGCAAUGACUUCAAGACCUGUGUUUAUAUGAUCUCUGCUAACCACAAAAGCUGUUUGUUUCUCUGUGUCUGACAACAGAAGAGAGAGAUUCUCCACAGUGACCAUCAGUGACCUGACUGAAGAUGAUACUGGGACCUACUGGUGUGGAGUAGAAACCAGCAGGACAGAACAACGUUACAUUACACUGAUCACACAGGUGAAGCUGCUUGUUAUAAUGGCACCAACCACCACGAGCACAGCCACAACAACUCCACCAACAAAGGAUCAGGAUCUAUCUCUUCAACACACAGAGUGAGUCCAGACACAGGAAACAACGAAGGGGGUUGUCAUGGUGACGGUGACUAUGAAGAGAUAAAGGAGCGCCCCCUAAGGUCAGACACAGGCGCUGCGAUGACCACCAUCUACGCCACCGCCAACUUACCCACAAGCCACUCUGAGUCUCUCCACUACACCUGCGUCUACAUCCACAAGAACCCCAGCGGCCCCAACGAAGCAACUGCCACCAUCACUAAAGAGGGCAGCUGCUCCAAUGAGGCCACCGCUGCCAUUGCUAAAGAGGGCACUUCAUCAUGUGACUAUGCUACUGUGAACUAUGGUCAAAGCCCCACCUACUCUACUGUCAAUCAUCCACACAGCUCCUCUGAGGCUCCUCCCAUCUACUCCACAAUCAGCAAACCCAGAGACACUUGAGUCACUGGCAACCAAUCACAAGAUACAUACACUCACUGGCGACCAAUCACAAGAGACACAUUUUAACCAUAUGCGCUGACCUCUAUUUUUAGCAAAUUUCUCUUUUACUUUUUUUUGUCUCUCUCGCUCACGGUCUCUGUCAGUCUCUUUUUCUCUCGCUCACGGUCUCUGUCAGUCUCUUUUUCUCUCUCUAUCUCUGCUGGUCUCUGUCCAGUCUCUUUUUCUCUCUCGCUCACGGUCUCUGUCCAGUCUCUUUUUCUCUCUCUCUCUCUGCUGGUCUCUGUCCAGUCUCUUUUUCUCUCUCGCUCACGGUCUCUGUCCAGUCUCUUUUUCUCUCUCUCUCUCUGCUGGUCUCUGUCCAGUCUCUUUUUCUCUCUCUCUCUCUGCUGGUCUCUGUCCAGUCUCUUUUUCUCUCUCUCUCUGCUGGUGUCUUUCUCUCUCUCUAUCUCCUAUUCUCUCACUGACAGUGAUUCUCGAUAAAGGGGUGGAGUCAACAAACUCCGCCUUUGCAGUUUAAGUUGUUCUAUUGGUUUACAGUGAUCUCAGUAGCUUGUCUGUUAUGUGAUGACAUCAUUCAUUAAGGGGAGUUGGGUUGUAGAGGAGGGAUGUUUCUUCUGUUCAGAAACUCAUCUGUUGAGUUGAUCAUUUACAAAGACUGUAUUUGGAUCAAUUAAAUGUCAGAAAAAAGUUAUAAAAUAUAUUGAUGUUUAUUUUAACUAAAAUGUCAU